Molecule: ribosomal RNA, 327 nt
Filed under: uncultured eukaryote
Lineage: Eukaryota
Description: partial 18S ribosomal RNA
Rfam family: Eukaryotic small subunit ribosomal RNA
Source: RNAcentral
CCCUUAGAUGUCCGGGGCCGCACGCGCGCUACACUGACGAAUGCAACGAGCUUAUAACCUUGGCCGAAAGGUCUGGGUAAUCUCCAAAUUUCGUCGUGAUGGGGAUAGAUUAUUGCAAUUAUUAAUCUUCAACGAGGAAUGCCUAGUAAGCGCAAGUCAUCAGCUUGCGUUGAUUACGUCCCUGCCCUUUGUACACACCGCCCGUCGCUCCUACCGAUUGAAUGGUCCGGUGAAGCGUUCGGACCGUGGCCUUUGGACGGUUCGCCGUCUGUUGGCUGCGGGAAGUUCGUUAAACCUUAUCAUUUAGAGGAAGGAGAAGUCGUAACA